RNAcentral lists this ribosomal RNA (747 nucleotides) under uncultured bacterium. RNAcentral describes it as "bacterial SSU rRNA". It matches the Rfam family "Bacterial small subunit ribosomal RNA", at positions 28 to 776 of the family's 1533-position model. The record is from RNAcentral.
GAUGAACGCUGGCGGCGUGCCUAACACAUGCAAGUCGAACGAGGUAUUUUGAUUGAAGUUUUCGGAUGGAUUUCAAGAUGCCGAGUGGCGGACGGGUGAGUAACGCGUGGGUAACCUGCCUCAUACAGGGGGAUAACGGUUAGAAAUGACUGCUAAUACCGCAUAAGCGCACAGUACCGCAUGGUACGGUGUGAAAAACUCCGGUGGUAUGAGAUGGACCCGCGUCUGAUUAGCUAGUUGGUGAGGUAACGGCCCACCAAGGCGACGAUCAGUAGCCGACCUGAGAGGGUGACCGGCCACAUUGGGACUGAGACACGGCCCAGACUCCUACGGGAGGCAGCAGUGGGGGAUAUUGCACAAUGGAGGAAACUCUGAUGCAGCGACGCCGCGUGAGUGAAGAAGUAUUUCGGUAUGUAAAGCUCUAUCAGCAGGGAAGAAAAUGACGGUACCUGACUAAGAAGCCCCGGCUAACUACGUGCCAGCAGCCGCGGUAAUACGUAGGGGGCAAGCGUUAUCCGGAUUUACUGGGUGUAAAGGGAGCGUAGACGGCGACGCAAGUCUGAAGUGAAAUACCCGGGCUCAACCUGGGAACUGCUUUGGAAACUGUGUUGCUAGAGUGCUGGAGAGGUAAGCGGAAUUCCUAGUGUAGCGGUGAAAUGCGUAGAUAUUAGGAAGAACACCAGUGGCGAAGGCGGCUUACUGGACAGUAACUGACGUUGAGGCUCGAAAACGUGGGGAGCAAACAGG